UACGUAGGGUGCGAGCGUUGUCCGGAAUUAUUGGGCGUAAAGAGCUCGUAGGCGGUGUGUCGCGUCGGCCGUGAAAACCUGCAGCUUAACUGUGGGCUUGCGGUCGAUACGGGCAUCACUGGAGUUCGGCAGGGGAGACUGGAAUUCUCGGUGUAGCGGUGAAAUGCGUAGAUAUCGAGAGGAACACCUGCGGCGAAGGCGGGUUGCUGGGCUGAUACUGACGCUGAGGCGCGAAAGCCAGGGGAGCGAACGGG
This 254-nucleotide ribosomal RNA is filed under the name uncultured bacterium. Its description in RNAcentral is "partial 16S ribosomal RNA". It matches the Rfam family "Bacterial small subunit ribosomal RNA", at positions 524 to 776 of the family's 1533-position model. The record is from RNAcentral.